Rhagoletis pomonella (apple maggot) is the source of this 756-nucleotide long non-coding RNA. RefSeq lists it as uncharacterized. Lineage: Eukaryota; Metazoa; Arthropoda; Insecta; Diptera; Tephritidae. The record is from RefSeq and is a predicted model, not a curated record. The transcript has 3 exons.
UGUUAUGUAAUGCUAUGUAGUAUUAUGCUAUGCUAAGUACUAAGUUAAACUCCCCUCCACUUAACCCAUCCGAACCAAUGUUAUUUUACCUCAACUCACCAACUCAACUCACCGCUUUUUUUCAACGGCUGGGCGAACACUAGUUUUAAUUUAAACCUUGUUUUAUGUAGCUUGUAUGACUUCGCAGAACGUCGCUGUAAUGUCGGCGCUGGCGGGGCAAAAAGCCAUUACACGGAAACUCGUAUGACAAGAUUCUCUGAUGAUAUCCACAAUCAGAAGAAUGCUUCAAAACUCUAUUAGUAAAAACCUAAAAAAUAUUUUUACUAACGAUGUAAUUAUGAGCUACAACGUUGAUGGAACUCACGGCAAGAAGAGUCUCAAAGAGUUCAAAAAUUUGUAUCAAGUGUUAAUAGAAUCAAUAUAGCCCGGACGACCCGGAAACGCAGCUGAGAAAAGCGCUUCAAUUGAAUAAAAAGAGCUUUUUUUCAAAAGUAGGCCAUUGAGACGAAACCUUUUCGGGAUUUGUCCUAAUAGAGAUGGGCAAAACGUAACCAUGCAUGGUUAUUCGUUUGGAUGAUUAGUAAUCCUUGCAAUACAUCGUUCAAUAAUUUGUAGUUUUUUAGAUUAAGAUAUUGAAAACAUUAGUUUGAAUGAACUAAAAGAAAUCAAAACAAAAAAAUAUAACGCUUGCCAAAAUUACAGGGAAAUAGAAUUUUAAAGAUUUUAUUAAUAAAACUCAGAGUUUAAAGCUUUUUG